CAGUAGCCGCGGUAAUACGAAGGGUGCAAGCGUUACUCGGAAUUACUGGGCGUAAAGCGUGCGUAGGUGGUGGUUUAAGUCCGUUGUGAAAGCCCUGGGCUCAACCUGGGAAUUGCAGUGGAUACUGGAUCACUAGAGUGUGGUAGAGGAUAGUGGAAUUUCCGGUGUAGCAGUGAAAUGCGUAGAGAUCGGAAGGAACAUCUGUGGCGAAGGCGACUAUCUGGGCCAACACUGACACUGAGGCACGAAAGCGUGGGGAGCAAACAGGAUUAGAUACCCGCGUAGUCCCUGUCUCUUAUAA
Molecule: ribosomal RNA, 301 nt
Filed under: uncultured bacterium
Lineage: Bacteria
Description: partial 16S ribosomal RNA
Rfam family: Bacterial small subunit ribosomal RNA
Source: RNAcentral